This 346-nucleotide ribosomal RNA is filed under the name Isochrysis galbana. Its description in RNAcentral is "partial Bacterial large subunit ribosomal RNA". It matches the Rfam family "Bacterial large subunit ribosomal RNA", at positions 1958 to 2302 of the family's 2925-position model. Lineage: Eukaryota; Haptophyta; Isochrysidales; Isochrysidaceae. The record is from RNAcentral.
AGCGAAAUUCCUUGUCGGGUAAGUUCCGACGCGCAUGAAUGGCGUAAUCAUUGGAGCACUGUCUCAACAACCGACUCGGUGAAAUAGAAGAAGCGGUGAAGAUACCGCGUACCCGCAGCAAGACGGAAAGACCCCGUGAACCUUUACUGUACGCUGAUAUUGGCCAGAAAUUUGUUCUGCGUAGGAUAGGUGGGAGGCUUUGAACCCGAGAUUCCGGUCUCGGUGGAGCCAUCCUUGAAAUACCACCCUGAUCACAUUUCUGACCUAACCACGACCCAUGAAUCUGGGCGAGGGACCCUGUCAGCCGGGCAGUUUGACUGGGGCGGUCUCCUCCUAAAGAGUAACG